Long non-coding RNA from Symphalangus syndactylus (siamang), 2422 nucleotides. RefSeq lists it as uncharacterized. Lineage: Eukaryota; Metazoa; Chordata; Mammalia; Primates; Hylobatidae. The record is from RefSeq and is a predicted model, not a curated record.
CGGGGCCUCCACGGCGCCUGCGCAGACGGCCGCAGCCCUGCUGGGCCCGAAGGGGCUGGCCAAGGGGCGGGUGCCGCGAGGGAGGCAGGGCGGGCCCGGUAAGCGGCGCCGCGGGGUUGGCUGCUUCCCUGAGGCCGGACUCAACGGGUCUCGGCUGAGCCACCGGGUGAACUCACCGCCCAUCCCCAACCAGGAGAUUGCGAGGGAGCGAUACGGUGCCGCGCGACCAAGAGCAGUGAUGACCUUUUAGCUGGAAUGGUCGGAGGGGUAACGGUGACUAAUGGUGUUAAAGGGAAGAAAGGCACCUGCCCAUCUGCAGCACCUUCGGCAUCUGCCCCUGCCAUGACCACCAUGGAGAACAAAUCCAAGAUUAGCACAGGAAAUUGUAGACAUACAAAAGUAGAUGGAUUGAUAUUUCAGCUGAAUACGCUCAUCAGGCUCAUCACCAUUUAUCAACUCACAGCCAGUUGUAACUCCGUGAUACCCAUCCUCCCCUCUUAUUAUUUUGAAGCAGAUUCCGGACAUCAUAUGAUUUCAUCCAUAAAUAUUUUAUUAUCUUGGAAAGAGAAGGAUUCUUUUAAAAAUAUAAUCAUAAUACCAUUAUCAGUCCUUAAAAUAAUUGAUAAUCAUUCCUUAAAUCAUACCUUAUUCAAUGAGUAUUUAAAUUUCCAACAGUCUUAUAAAUAUUUUUGUUUUAUUUACUGUCUGUUUUUAUGUUUGGAUCAGGACUCACAUAGGUCCAUAUAUAAUUGGCUGAUGUGUCUCUUAAAUCUUCUUUUUUAAAUCGAUGGGUUUAACUCGAUUCUUGCAGUUUAAUUUUUGUGGAAGCCGGUCACAUGACCUAUAGAGUUUCUGAGCAUGUGGAUUUUUAUAUCACAAUAUCCCCAUGAUGUUUUUGCCCAUCACCCUUUGUUGUCUGUAUUUAUUGUAAAUGGCAUUGGAGUCUUAUGGGACAGAGUCAGGUCCCCUGUCCCCCCCAAUUUGAAAAACAAAAACAACCAAAACACUAUGUUGGCCAGGCUGAUGUCGAACUUCUGACCUCAGGUGAUCUCCUGCCUUGGCCUCCCAAAGUGCUGGGAUUACAAGCAUGAACCACCGCAUCAUUUAAAUGUACUGAAAGGCCAGGCAUGGUGGUUCAGAGCUGUAAUCCUAGUACUCUGAGAGGAUGAGGCAGGCAGAUCACCGGAGGUCAGGAGUUUGAGACCAGUCUGGCCAACAUGGCAAAAUCUUGUCUCUACAAAAAAAAAAAAAAAAAAAAAAUUAGCCCUGCGUGGUGGCGCAUGGCUCUAGUCCCAGUUACUUGGGAGGCUGAGGCAUGAGAAUCCUUUGAACCCCGGAGGCAGAGGCUGCAGUGAGUUGAGAUGGCACCACUGCACUCCAGCAUGGGCGACAGAGCAAGACCCUGUCUGUAAAUAAAUAAACGUUGCCGGUAAUCCUAGCACUUUGGGAGGCUGAGGUGGGUGUAUCACCUGAAGUCAGGAGUUCGAGACCAGCCUGACUACUAUGGUGAAACCCCGUCUCUACUAAAAAUACAAAAAUUAGCUGGGUAUUAUGGCAUGUGUCUGUAGUCCCAGCUACUCAGGAGGCUCAGACAGGAGAAUUGCUUGAACUCAGGAGGUGGAGGGUGCAGCGAGCCGAGAUUGAGCCACUGCACUUCAGCCUGGGCAACAGAGUGAGACUCCGUCUCAAAAAAAUUAAAUAAAAUAAAAAAUAAAAAUAAAUAAAUGUAGUAAGAUUGCAGAGUUGUGCAGUGGAAGCAUGCUGGUCCUAUCCAUGUAGUGAAGGCAGAUUUCAUACACAAAUCUCACAAGAACUUUUAUCCCCAGUUGCCUUCCAAAGAAGCAGUACAUGGACUAAUGCAUGGGCUGUCCCUAACAGCUCUGGAAACAUAAACAGAAAACAGAAAACGACACGCUCAGCCCUUGAGGCCAAAAUGCCCUUCCCCAGAGCAGCUGCCAGAAGACAGGGAGCAGGAUCGGGUUGGAGGUCACUUCUGGGUGAGGGGGAGAAUGGUCAGACCCGGGGCAGGGGUGUUGGAGCCUGGUUGGCCUCACUGGAACAGAAGAGAGCUGCUUCAUGAUGCUCAGCUGACAGGCAGAGCCUUGCAUAACCCAGGUUCUCACGGUUCAGAGAGGCCAGCCAGCGCGAGGACAAAGACAGACACGCACUGAAAUGGUUUCCUGGAAGACAGGGCCCAGUUGCAUCUCUCAAAUGGGACCAGAUUGGAAGGGAGACCAGCUGCUUUGGGCAAAUGAGGCCACUUCUGAAUAAGCUCCCAAACUAGAUGGUGCCGAGGUUCCCGGACCUGGCAGCUGGGCUGGACAUCGCACGGCCCUGUAUUCCAGGAAACGGCAUCUCAGUGCUUGUCUGGCCAGUUCUCCAAAAGAACCAUCCACAGGCCAUUUUUCCAUUCCCCUCCUAU